Long non-coding RNA from Pan troglodytes (chimpanzee), 357 nucleotides. RefSeq lists it as uncharacterized. The transcript is spliced from 2 exons. The record is from RefSeq and is a predicted model, not a curated record. Lineage: Eukaryota; Metazoa; Chordata; Mammalia; Primates; Hominidae.
AUAAUGGGAUCUAAACAAACAGGAGGUGUACAGGGCUUGUGGGGAGUUGGCUCCCCAGAAAUCUGGGAAGACUUCUAACUGGAAGACUGGAAGACUUCUAACUGGAGAUAAUGCAGUAGAGGAACUGAAGAUGCUUAUGAAGUCAUUAGUAUCAUGGACUGUAAAAAUCAAACACUGUGUAAUUCUCAGAAUACAACUAGACACUGCUCUCAUGGGAAGGAGAUUGAACUAUGUGUCUUGCGUCUUGGAAAAAAUGCAAAGCGACUCACUAACCAUGAAGAAAUAGCAAAUUAGGAAGACAGGAUGAUCAAUUUCCUUGUCUUAUUAAAAAAUAAAGUCUGCUUUCUUUUCUCUCUC